GGGAAUUUUGCGCAAUGGGGGAAACCCUGACGCAGCAACGCCGCGUGGAGGAUGAAAUCCCCUGGGAUGUAAACUCCUUUCGAUCGGGAAGAUAAUGACGGUACCGAGAGAAGAAGCCCCGGCUAACUUCGUGCCAGCAGCCGCGGUAAUACGAGGGGGGCAAGCGUUGUUCGGAAUUAUUGGGCGUAAAGGGUGCGUAGGCGGUUUGAUAAGUUUCAUGUGAAAUCUUCGGGCUCAACCCGAAGCCUGCAUGGAAAACUGUCGGGCUUGAGUAUGGGAGAGGUGAGUGGAAUUUCCGGUGUAGCGGUGAAAUGCGUAGAUAUCGGAAGGAACACCUGUGGCGAAAGCGGCUCACUGGACCAUAACUGACGCUGAUGCACGAAAGCUAGGGGAGCAAACA
Molecule: ribosomal RNA, 400 nt
Filed under: uncultured bacterium
Lineage: Bacteria
Description: bacterial SSU rRNA
Rfam family: Bacterial small subunit ribosomal RNA
Source: RNAcentral